AUUGAACGCUAGCGGCAUGCUUUACACAUGCAAGUCGAACGAGUGGAGGACGGGUGAGUACUAUAUAGGAACGUGCCCAAUAGCGGGGGAUAACUACUGGAAACAUUGUCUAAUACCGCAUACUCUCGGCGCUGCCGAUAUCGGAUUAGCUAGUUGGUGGGGUAACGGCUCACCAAGGCAACGAUCCGUAGCUGGUUUGAGAGGACGACCAGCCACACUGGGACUGAGACACGGUCCAGACUCCUACGUGAGGCAGCAGUGGGGAAUAUUGGACAAUGGGGGAAACCCUGAUCCAGCCAUCCCGCGUGUAUGAGAAGGCCUUCGGGUUGUAAAGUACUUUUGGCAGAGAAGCGGUAUCUGCAGAAUAAGCACCGGCUAACUACGUGCCAGCAGCCGCGGUAAUUC
This 405-nucleotide ribosomal RNA is filed under the name uncultured bacterium. Its description in RNAcentral is "partial 16S ribosomal RNA". It matches the Rfam family "Bacterial small subunit ribosomal RNA", at positions 30 to 526 of the family's 1533-position model. The record is from RNAcentral.